RNAcentral lists this transfer RNA (74 nucleotides) under Australina pusilla. RNAcentral describes it as "tRNA-Asp". It matches the Rfam family "tRNA". From Rfam's summary of the family: Transfer RNA (tRNA) molecules are approximately 80 nucleotides in length. Lineage: Eukaryota; Viridiplantae; Streptophyta; Magnoliopsida; Rosales; Urticaceae. The record is from RNAcentral.
GGGAUUGUAGUUCAAUUGGUGAGAGCACCGCCCUGUCAAGGCGGAAGCUGCGGGUUCGAACCCCGUCAGUCCCG